AGGCAGGAUCUGCUCACAGUGUAGCUGUCAUGUGCUACGCUGUCUUUGCCCUCUGCUUAAACUAAAGCUGUCCCAUUCCAACCCUGUCUGCCACAGUGCUGUAGCAGGCAGGGAUGUGUGGCGCCACACAG
Molecule: small nucleolar RNA, 131 nt
Filed under: Loxodonta africana (African savanna elephant)
Lineage: Eukaryota; Metazoa; Chordata; Mammalia; Proboscidea; Elephantidae
Description: Small nucleolar RNA SNORA63 (ENSLAFG00000025237.1)
Source: RNAcentral